RNAcentral lists this ribosomal RNA (631 nucleotides) under uncultured Actinomycetales bacterium. RNAcentral describes it as "bacterial SSU rRNA". It matches the Rfam family "Bacterial small subunit ribosomal RNA", at positions 88 to 733 of the family's 1533-position model. The record is from RNAcentral. Lineage: Bacteria; Bacillati; Actinomycetota; Actinomycetes; Actinomycetales.
UACUCGAGUGGCGAACGGGUGAGUAACACGUGGGUGAUCUGCCCUGCACUUCGGGAUAAGCUUGGGAAACUGGGUCUAAUACCGGAUAGGAGCCAUCUUUAGUGUGGUGGUUGGAAAGUUUUUUCGGUGUAGGAUGAGCUCGCGGCCUAUCAGCUUGUUGGUGGGGUAAUGGCCUACCAAGGCGGCGACGGGUAGCCGGCCUGAGAGGGUGUACGGCCACAUUGGGACUGAGAUACGGCCCAGACUCCUACGGGAGGCAGCAGUGGGGAAUAUUGCACAAUGGGCGCAAGCCUGAUGCAGCGACGCCGCGUGGGGGAUGAAGGCCUUCGGGUUGUAAACUCCUUUCGCUAGGGACGAAGCUUUUUGUGACGGUACCUAGAUAAGAAGCACCGGCUAACUACGUGCCAGCAGCCGCGGUAAUACGUAGGGUGCGAGCGUUGUCCGGAAUUACUGGGCGUAAAGGGCUCGUAGGUGGUUUGUCGCGUCGUCUGUGAAAUUCUGGGGCUUAACUCCGGGCGUGCAGGCGAUACGGGCAUAACUUGAGUGCUGUAGGGGUAACUGGAAUUCCUGGUGUAGCGGUGAAAUGCGCAGAUAUCAGGAGGAACACCGAUGGCGAAGGCAGGUUACUGGG